RNAcentral lists this long non-coding RNA (740 nucleotides) under Astyanax mexicanus (Mexican tetra). RNAcentral describes it as "lncRNA (ENSAMXG00005016779.1)". Lineage: Eukaryota; Metazoa; Chordata; Actinopteri; Characiformes; Acestrorhamphidae. The record is from RNAcentral.
GUUUUAACAGGCUUGAGUUAAGCAGAGACUUUCACUUUCAUGCUGCUGAGAGCUGCUGUGUGCUGUGGUAAUAACUGUGGUAGUAAGCGUAGCUUUAGCACAGCUGAGAGCUAGUCUGGCUUGAGGAGGGGCUGUUUUUAAAAAAGGGGGUACAGAGCAUGUGGAGUGAAAGGAAAGGGAAAACGAAAGAAAAGGGGGAGUGAGGACAUUUAAAAGGCAUUUUGGAAAGUACCAGAGGGUCAGGAGGUGGCCAUUUGGACCGGGAGAGGGGAGAAAGUGGACCUACAGCAGGAACUCGCAGGAUAAUAACGUGGGGGGCUGAACGCCAGCAGUGCCACAGCACGGUGGGAGGCGGCAGAAAGAGAAACAUGGGGAAUAAUAUUACCCACAGGGGCCGGUAGAAGCAUGACACCCACAGUCUUACUGCUGCUGUCAAUGGUUUACACUGUUCGAGGGAGCGGCUGCAAUGAUUUGGCCAAAUCAACUGUCAACAAUCUUCAGACCGAAAUCAGUGAAAAGCAGACUGAAUUUUUCACGGUGUUUCCCAGAAACUACUUUGUGCCUCGAUUCAACGACAGCACGCAGUGUCAGGACCAGACUGCCUCGGUAAGAUUCAGCCUCAGACUACACACACUUAAUGUGUGUAGGAGUGUUGAGUGUCUCCUCCUGUCUCUCUCCUGUUAUCUUGUGGGUCAAACUGACCAGUUUCAGAGUUAUUAACCACAGUUAUAACAUAAAAC